This is a long non-coding RNA of Maniola jurtina (meadow brown), 175 nucleotides long. RefSeq lists it as uncharacterized. The transcript has 2 exons. NCBI's taxonomy places the organism in Eukaryota, Metazoa, Arthropoda, Insecta, Lepidoptera, Nymphalidae. The record is from RefSeq and is a predicted model, not a curated record.
UUCCUGGUAGCAGUUUCCGCUGCACCAAAUAGACAUAAAAACAGCGGGGGUUGCAAUGAAGGAUAUACAAAGAUAAUCAAUAAUUCGCAGUCAGGGGGCGGAUCAGGUGGUCAAUAUGGAAACGACAACUGUGAUGACAAUGGUGGCGGUCAUGGUGGUCUUAUGGAUUAUCCAA